This is a long non-coding RNA of Ctenopharyngodon idella (grass carp), 1875 nucleotides long. RefSeq lists it as uncharacterized. The transcript is spliced from 2 exons. NCBI's taxonomy places the organism in Eukaryota, Metazoa, Chordata, Actinopteri, Cypriniformes, Xenocyprididae. The record is from RefSeq and is a predicted model, not a curated record.
CAGUGGAAUUAUGGGAGGAAACAAGAGAGAGAGAGAGAGUAAAUAUGCAAAGUAUUCAUGCAUUAUAGAUACCAUGGCAACAACUUAAAACAUGCAUUCUAUUAUGUCAUGUUAGAUUAUGACUGAAGUAAAGACACUAGAGUUAUUAUAGUUAAAGAUAACGUAUGUACGAUUUUUUAUACAGGCUGAGAGUUUGGGGCGUGGCUACUGUAGUGGGCGGAGAGUUUGGGGCGUGGCUACUGUAGCAGGCGGAGAGUUUGGGGCAUGGCUACUGUAGCAGGCAGAGGGUUUGGGGCGGGGCUACUGUAGCAGGUGUAGAGUUUGAGGCAUGGCUACUGUAGCAGGUAUAGAGUUUAGGGCGUGGCUACUGUAGCAGCUGUAGAGUUUGAGGCGUGGCUACUGUAGCAGCUGUAGAGUUUGGGGCGUGGCUACUGUAGCAGCUGUAGAGUUUGAGGCGUGGCUACUGUAGCAGCUGUAGAGUUUGGGGCGUGGCUACUGUAGCAGGUGGAGAAUUUGGGGCGUGGCUACUGUAGCAGGUGGAGAGUUUGAGGCGUGGCUACUGUAGCAGGUGGAGAGUUUGGGGCGUGGCUACUGUAGCAGGCAGAGAGUUUGGGGCAUGGCUACUGUAGCAGGUGUAGAGUUUAGGGCGUGGCUACUGUAGCAGCUGUAGAGUUUGAGGCAUGGCUACUGUAGCAGGUAUAGAGUUUAGGGCGUGGCUACUGUAGCAGCUGUAGAGUUUGAGGCGUGGCUACUGUAGCAGCUGUAGAGUUUGAGGCAUGGCUACUGUAGCAGGUAUAGAGUUUAGGGCGUGGCUACUGUAGCAGCUGUAGAGUUUGAGGCGUGGCUACUGUAGCAGCUGUAGAGUUUGGGGCGUGGCUACUGUAGCAGGUGGAGAGUUUGGGGCGUGGCUACUGUAGCAGGUGGAGAGUUUGAGGCGUGGCUACUGUAGCAGGUGGAGAGUUUGGGGCGUGGCUACUGUAGCAGGUGGAGAGUUUGAGGCGUGGCUACUGUAGCAGGUGGAGAGUUUGGGGCGUGGCUACUGUAGCAGGUGGAGAGUUUGGGGCGUGGCUACUGUAGCAGGUGGAGAGUUUGAGGCGUGGCUACUGUAGCAGGCGGAGAGUUUGGGGAAGAUGUUUAGCCGCUGUGGGACCAUAAACCAUAACUGAUGCGUUACCUGGGAAAAGACAUUCAUUUCGGUUACAGGAGUAUAAGAUGAAAUUCACUGCAUUUAGACUAGAUUAAACAGGUCAUGAACACAUCAAAGUGAUGCGGUGCACUACAAUAGUAACUUCAGAACCAUAGAGCGUCAUCAUGCACCCGUUCAAAAAGACAAAUGUACCAGUUUAUAAUGUUUACUUUCAUGUGUCCAGUGUCCAUCUGUCCCGUGGCGUCAUGGGAUAGUAGGUGUCCACCAAAUGCAUACUUCAGAAUUUCGCCAGAAGUAGUAGGUCAUCCGGGGACUUUUCACCUACUGUUUUUCGAUUACUAUAUAGUAGGGAAGUAUCUUAUUUUGGAUGCGAAACAGAAUUCUUUGCACUGAACAGGAAGUCGCUCUUCCAAAGAGGAAGUAAAGACUAUUUCUAUUAACAAAAGUUGCAUCAGUGAAGUAUUCGAGCUGUAACUAUUAAACUUCACUGAGCUUCAGUUUGAGCUUCAGCACUGAGACUGAAUGAACCACAAACAGACCAUUAAUGAGAAACAGAGCAGCAGUGAGAGCUGGAAUAUAUCUGGAUCACCAGCCGCCCAAACAUAAACACACACACACAUACACACACACACAAACACAGGAAACAUUUUGUAACUGAAUCAAAAUCAAAACGAAUCAUCAGACGCCUAAAGUGUUGGCUUACUACAUCUUCUGAUCUCGCAAGCCUU